Labrus bergylta (ballan wrasse) is the source of this 832-nucleotide long non-coding RNA. RefSeq lists it as uncharacterized. Lineage: Eukaryota; Metazoa; Chordata; Actinopteri; Labriformes; Labridae. The record is from RefSeq and is a predicted model, not a curated record.
GAGAGAAAUACAGAUUGAGAGAGAGAGAGAGAGAGAGAGGACUGGAGCAGGACUUGUGUAAAAGGGUCUGAAGUCCUGCGUUGCGUAGCCUACUCCACCACCACGUCUACGCACCACCACUGCUGCUCCGAAAAGUCGAUUUUCCACCAGAUAGUUGAGUUUUUACAUGGCGGAUGUGAAGAAUACUAACAGGCAUCGACACACCCUGCUGACGGUCCGGGACUCUGCCGAGCAGUGGGCGAGGCACCCUGAACUCUGCCGGACCGAUCGGAGGAGCAGGAGCGACCCGGCCGGUGGGCAAGGAAUUUGAGCACCUAAAGCAGGCGAAAUGAAGUAGAAGGCCUGGCCGUUUCCUGGGCCACAGGUUUCAAACCCUAACCCUCUCUGGCUGACUCCCAGCAGCCCCUCACCCUCCAAGGCCCCUAAUGGCUGACACACAGCAGUUCUUCACUGGCAAGCUUUAUGUUCCUGUACACAUGCUAAAGCUGCCAGCUGAAGAACUGCUCUGGUCUGCCCUGCGCCGGACGACUCAAGAAGAGGAAGCGGAUGGGGGGAUGGGGGGUGGUGGGAGAUGUUGGUGGGAAGAAGACUGAGGAAGUUUUCCACUCACUCCGGAGUCAGAUUUGACAUGCAAGAUUUGAACAACCAUUGUUUAUAUUUAUGCAUUUGAUGUGUCACUUUCAGUUUGUGGUCGCACAUAUUGUUGAGUUCUCUCUUUAAAAACCUUCUUAAUGGUGUUUUUCUGGUCCUUCAAUAAAGAAAUAAAACAUGUCUUGUAUUUUUUGUUAUUGUUGUGUACCCUAUGGGAAAUAAAAGACAUACCAAUACUGAA